GGGGGGGGGGGGGGGGGGGGGGGGGGGGGGGGGGGGGGGGGGGGGGGGGGCCGCUCUUCCGAUCUGUCAUUUCCUCUAGCUCAUGUCCGGCUAGGGGGGCUGCCAGGUACAGAGCUGGGGUCUGACCACAAGGGGGAAGGGGUCACUAGCUGCCCGUAACAACCCGAGGUCUUCCGCACGCACUGUCCCUAUCUCUCUACACUGGUCUGUACUGGUCCAUACUGGUCCAUACUGGUCUAUACUGGUCCAUACUGAUCCAUACUGGUCCAUAUUGGUCUAUACUGGUUUUUACUGGUCUAUACUGCUCAAUACUGGUUUGUACUGGUCCAUACUGGCCCAAAAUCUCCGAGCGGCCAGAAUUUCACAGAGGCCCCUGCUCGAACUUUCUGCUUCCCAAAUCCUCCUGAGUGACUCCAACCCAGCACUCUUUCCAUCCCAAGGCAGAUAAAAAUCAGCUGGGGCCGAGCAGGGCCCAUCUACAGCUCUGUGUUUAUUUUUAAUCGGGUGGCUCAAAACUGAGUCGGGCCCCACCAGUUCCUGGAAAUUUAAUCCACAAUCCCUUCCUUCUCUGGAGCUACCGAGCAGCAGCUCCCUGACCCCAGAGGCAGAGCCCUGUCCGUGCAGCUGGGACACAGCCUCGGGAUUUGCUGCCUCUGCCGCUGGAAAAGCUGCAAAACCCAAGGGAAACGCUCCAGCAUCGCCGCCGCCUCCUCAGUCACGGCCCCGAUUUUCAGCAGCUCCUCCUCGUCCUCGUCCCCCAGCUCGCCCCGGGCCAGCGCCGGCCCCGCCUCGGCUUUCCGGGCCACCCGCAGCUCCUCCAGGGCCGCCCGAGCCCGGCCCAGCUCGGCCUCGGCCGCGGCCAGCGCGGCGGGGACGCCGCUCGGGGUCCCCAAGGCUCUGGCCAGGACCAGCAGCGCCCCCAGGGCCCGGGGGCGAGCGGCGCUGGCCCGGGCCAGCUCGGGGGGAGGGGCGGGGGGGGGGGGGGGGGGGGGGGGGGGGGGGGGGGGGGGGGGGGGGGGGGGGGGGGGGGGGGGGGGGGGGGGGGGGGGGGGGGGGGGGG
RNAcentral lists this long non-coding RNA (1060 nucleotides) under Ficedula albicollis (Collared flycatcher). Its description in RNAcentral is "lncRNA (ENSFALG00000025040.1)". The record is from RNAcentral. Lineage: Eukaryota; Metazoa; Chordata; Aves; Passeriformes; Muscicapidae.